Molecule: long non-coding RNA, 1063 nt
Filed under: Olea europaea subsp. europaea
Lineage: Eukaryota; Viridiplantae; Streptophyta; Magnoliopsida; Lamiales; Oleaceae
Source: RNAcentral
AGAGACGAAAUUGGCAACAAAAUUUCAAAAUGAAAUUUAAUGCAUAAAUAAUGGCAUUAUUUAAAUAAACAUUUUAAUUAAAAAUAUAGAAGUCGUCAAUCAAUUAUUUAUUUAUUUAUUUAUUUGAUAUAAUUUUAAACAGGUCAAAAUUAAAAUUUUAAUUGAGUCAAAAUUGAAAUUUUGUGGACAACUUUUAAAUCCAAUUUCAAAAUUCAAAUUUAAUCCCUUUUCGAAAAUUGCACCUUGAUCUUAGUUAAAAUUAAAACCGGGUCCUCCAGUUUCUCAAAUUACAAAUAGGCCCUUUUUAAAUAAUCACAAUUUGACCCCAAUUGUUAAUUGCAGACUGGGGCCUUUUAACUUCUCAAAUUACAACAUGACCCCUAUCUUCCUUAUUCAGCUCGUUUCAUAAACAACAAUCACAAUUAACAACCAAGCAUUUAGGGCAAAUCCAACACAAAAUCAAUUAUAAAUCCAACAAUCCCCAACUCUCACUUCAAUCAGUUUGUAAAAACGUAGUUUACUAGAAGUUGGAACUCUAUUGAGGCAAAAUCCAACUGCUUGCAACAAAUCGGGAGAUCGAUUAUCAUUGCUGCAAGAUCCGAAUUAAUUGCAACAGCCCGGAGGAUCGACGGCGGUCAUCCAACAUGCGAUUGGGACAAGGUGAGUGAGUGGGAUUUUAUUUUAUUAUUUAUUAUUAUUAUUUAUUUAUUUAUUUAUUUCUGUAUUGGUAUAGAAUGGAAGGGAAAUUUGGAUUAGUGUUUCAAGCCACCACCAUUAACGGCCCAGAAAAAGAAUAUGUUAAUCCCAAGAACCUUCAGGGGUGAGGCAGUGGGAAUAUGGUGGUUUGAUAGCUUCCGCAAGGUUUGGUUUCAUUACAUAUGUUUUUAUAAUUAUACAUAUAUGCAUACAUGAAUUUAUACGCACAGAAAACUUUUAAUGCAAGUUUUGUGUUCAAGUUAUGUAUAUAAUUAUGGUGUUUCUGGGAAUUGAUUCUCUGUAAAUUUGAGUUCAAGUUAUACAUACAAUUAUAUACACAUACACGACUGCACUGCACAGAAACCUC